This 463-nucleotide ribosomal RNA is filed under the name uncultured bacterium. RNAcentral's name for it is "bacterial SSU rRNA". It matches the Rfam family "Bacterial small subunit ribosomal RNA", at positions 29 to 506 of the family's 1533-position model. The record is from RNAcentral.
AUGAACGUUGGCGGCGUGGAUUAGGCAUGCAAGUCGAGCGCGAAUCUCCUUUCGGGGAGAGGAAAGCGGCGAAAGGGACAGUAACACGUGGACCAUCUGCCUUCAGGUCCUGGAUAGCUGCGGGAAACUGCAGGUAAUACAGGAUAAUGUCUCCGGACCAAAGGUGUAAUUCCUCCUGAAGAUGAGUCCGCGUCCUAUCAGCUUGUUGGUGAGGUAACGGCUCACCAAGGCUUCGACGGGUAGCGGGUGUGAGAGCACGACCCGCGUCACUGGGACUGAGACACUGCCCAGACACCUACGGGUGGCUGCAGUCGAGGAUCUUCGGCAAUGGGCGCAAGCCUGACCGAGCGACGCCGCGUGUGGGAUGAAGGCCUUCGGGUUGUAAACCACUGUCAGUGGGGAGGAAGGACCGGUGUAGAGCCGGUUUUGACCUAUCCGCAGAGGAAGUGUGGGCUAAGUCCGU